UAUGAAACUAACCGGAUUUUG
RNAcentral lists this small nuclear RNA (21 nucleotides) under Arabidopsis thaliana (thale cress). RNAcentral describes it as "snRNA_14035". Lineage: Eukaryota; Viridiplantae; Streptophyta; Magnoliopsida; Brassicales; Brassicaceae. The record is from RNAcentral.